UACGGGGGGGGCAAGCGUUGUUCGGAAUUACUGGGCGUAAAGAGCGUGUAGGCGGCCAGAUAGGUCCGUUGUGAAAACUGGAGUCUUAACCUCCAGCGGUCGAUGGAAACCAUUUGGCUAGAGUCCGGAAGAGGAGAGUGGAAUUCCUGGUGUAGCGGUGAAAUGCGUAGAUAUCUGGAGGAACACCGGUGGCGAAGGCGGCAUCCUGGACCAACACUGACGCUGAGUGAGCGAAAGCCAGGGGAGCAAACGGG
This 254-nucleotide ribosomal RNA is filed under the name uncultured bacterium. RNAcentral's name for it is "partial 16S ribosomal RNA". It matches the Rfam family "Bacterial small subunit ribosomal RNA", at positions 524 to 776 of the family's 1533-position model. The record is from RNAcentral.